CAUGUAGGCGGCCCAGCAAGCGUCCUGUGAAAUCCCUCGGCUCAACCGAGGAAUUGCGUGGCGAACUGUUGGGCUUGAGGUAGGUAGGGGCGUGUGGAACUCUUGGUGGAGCGGUGGAAUGCGUAGAUAUCAAGAGGAACGCCGGUGGCGAAGGCGACACGCUGGGCCUGUCCUGACGCUGAGAUGCGAAAGCUAGGGUAGCGAACAGGAUUAGAUACCCUGGUAGUCC
Molecule: ribosomal RNA, 229 nt
Filed under: uncultured bacterium
Lineage: Bacteria
Description: partial 16S ribosomal RNA
Rfam family: Bacterial small subunit ribosomal RNA
Source: RNAcentral